Molecule: transfer RNA, 73 nt
Filed under: Caudoviricetes sp.
Lineage: Duplodnaviria; Heunggongvirae; Uroviricota; Caudoviricetes
Description: tRNA-Gln
Rfam family: tRNA
About the family: Transfer RNA (tRNA) molecules are approximately 80 nucleotides in length.
Source: RNAcentral
UUCUCGGUAGUGUAACGGUUUAGCACGGCUGAUUCUGGUUCAGUCAAUCAGGGUUCGAUUCCCUGCCGAGAAG